Molecule: small RNA, 127 nt
Filed under: Marmota monax (woodchuck)
Lineage: Eukaryota; Metazoa; Chordata; Mammalia; Rodentia; Sciuridae
Source: RNAcentral
GCCAGGUGUGGUAGUAUGCACCUGUAAUCCCAGCAGCUUGGGAGGCUGAGGCAGGAGGAUCAAGAGUUCAAAGCCAGCCUUAGCAAUUUAGUGAGGCCCUAAGCAACUCAGUGAGACCCUGUCUCUA